GCAAAGGCAAGACAGCCCCCUACCAGUGGCCCUCGCCUGAGGCCAGCAUUGAGCUGAUGCGUGACGCCCGCAUCUGUGCCUUCCUGUGGCGCAAGAAGUGGCUAGGCCAGUGGGCCAAGCAGCUCUGUGUGAUCAGGGACACCAGGCUUUUGUGCUACAAAUCGUCCAAAGACCACAGUCCUCAGCUGGAUGUGAACCUGCUGGGCAGCAGUGUCGUGCACAAGGAGAAACAAGUGCGGAAGAAAGAGCACAAGCUCAAGAUCAUGCCAAUGAACGCCGACGUGAUCGUGCUGGGCCUGCAGAGCAAGGACCAGGCUGAGCAGUGGCUUCGGGU
Molecule: long non-coding RNA, 334 nt
Filed under: Rattus norvegicus (Norway rat)
Lineage: Eukaryota; Metazoa; Chordata; Mammalia; Rodentia; Muridae
Description: long non-coding RNA NONRATT003947
Source: RNAcentral